RNA transcript from Olea europaea var. sylvestris, 1265 nucleotides. It is a transcript of the gene named vesicle-associated protein 1-1-like, with no coding region annotated. The transcript is spliced from 8 exons. The record is from RefSeq and is a predicted model, not a curated record. NCBI's taxonomy places the organism in Eukaryota, Viridiplantae, Streptophyta, Magnoliopsida, Lamiales, Oleaceae.
CGAAAUUCAAACAUGCAUAAAUAUUUUUCGCACUCCAUGGAGAAGGAUAAAAAUAGGAACAAAUUACAAACUUUUGAAAAUAGAAAUAAAAAACCUAGCUUCGAUUUAUCCGUUUUGUGUAUUUAAAAUCAACUUACAUUUCCCUCCCCAUUCAGAUAAUUCCGGAUCACCCCCAAAAUUUUUCACCAAAAAAUUCAAUACCUAUUCCUCAAAGAUGAUAAAACUGCAUUUUGUUUCAUUCAUUUCUAUACAGUUUUUGUUUUUAUAAUUUCUCGUUUAAUUAUUCCUAAAUGAGUACCAGAGAGCUUCUCAGCAUUGAACCUGUAGAACUCAAAUUCGCUUUUGAGCUGAAGAAGCAGAUCUCAUGUUCUCUCCAGGUAUCGAAUAAGACCGAAAAUCAUGUAGCUUUCAAGAUGAAGACAACGAAUCCUAAGAAAUAUUGCGUACGACCCAACUCUGGGAUUGUUUUGCCUCGAUCAACAUGUGAUAUCAUCGUAACGAUGCAAGCACAGAAGGAGGCUCCUUCUGACUUGCAAUGCAAGGACAAGUUUUUGCUUCAGAGUGUAGUUGCAAGUCCUGGUACAACACUGAAAGACAUUACUCCAGAAAUGUUUACUAAGGAGGAAGGGCGUGUUGUUGAAGAGUGCAAGUUGAGAGUGCUUUAUGUUUCCCCACCUCGACCACCAUCUCCAGUGGCAGAGGGAUCAGAUGAGGGUUCUUCACCAAAGACGACUGCUAUGGAGAAUGGCAAUCUUAAUGGCAGUGAGGUUACUGGAAUGUUUGUUGAUAGUCAUGAAAAUUCACCAGAGGAUCCACAACUUAUGUACACUAUCAAGUAUCAAACAUGCACCAGAUGGAGAAAGUGGGGUAAAGAAUUAAGCUGUGAUAGCAUGGGACUAGACUCCCAGCAGAAAGAUAAAAUCCUGUCUUUGCUUCCAGUAUCUGGUUAAUCGGUGCCACACCUGCAUUCGUCUCCCAUUUCUUCCAUAUCCACUCCCUUUCUUGAGUACUUCACUGACGCAGUUGCACUUGCGUCAUUCACUUGUCUUUAAAUUUUCAUCAGUUCAGUGUUUGUAUUUGUUCUUACAAUUUCACCGGGCCUGGAUUUUUAUCAGUUUGCAUUUGUUUGCUAGCUGCCUAUGUGAAUUUGUAUUCUAACUCUCAGGUACACUCACUUAUUUCCAAAUUAACUGAAGAAAAAGCCGCUGCAAUUCAACAGGGUAGCAAACUUCGUCAAGAAUUGUUACUCUUGAGGCAUGAUGGCA